GGUCAUACCCAGUUGGAACACCAGUUUUUGUACAAUCACUGAAGUUAAACAACAUUGAGCCUGGUUAGUAGCUAGAUGGAUGACCACUUGAAAAUACCAGGUGCUGUCAG
Acanthosepion pharaonis is the source of this 110-nucleotide non-coding RNA. NCBI's taxonomy places the organism in Eukaryota, Metazoa, Mollusca, Cephalopoda, Sepiida, Sepiidae. The record is from the annotation of a GenBank genome assembly.